CUUUCUCCGCCGGCGACCGGCGCACGGGUGAGUAACACGUACGCAACCUGCCCCUGUCAGGGGGACAACCCGCCGAAAGGCGGGCUAAACCCGCGUACAUGCCACCGGGGCAUCCCGGAGGCAGGAAAGGCUUCGGCCGGACAGGGAUGGGCAUGCGGCGCAUUAGGCAGUAGGCGGGGUAACGGCCCACCUAACCGACGAUGCGUAGGGGUUCUGAGAGGAAGGUCCCCCACACUGGUACUGAGACACGGACCAGACUCCUACGGGAGGCAGCAG
This 276-nucleotide ribosomal RNA is filed under the name uncultured bacterium. RNAcentral describes it as "partial 16S ribosomal RNA". It matches the Rfam family "Bacterial small subunit ribosomal RNA", at positions 79 to 354 of the family's 1533-position model. The record is from RNAcentral.